CCUGAACCCGAACCUGACGGGUUUUAAAAAUUUAUACCCAUAUCUGUACCCGACCAAAAACCCGAAAUCCGAAUCCGGACCCGAACCCGGCGAGUUUUAAAAAUCCAUACCGUUGAAUGAAGAUCUAAGAGUUAAAAAUAAUUAAAUAUUUUAUAUAUUAUAUAGAUAAAUAAAAAUAAAUUAUGUAUAUAUAUAAUUUAUUCAGGUUCGGGUUCAGGUUCGGGUCGGAUAAAUACAAAAUCCAUACUCGUAUCUGUAUCCGUCGGGUUUUUAUUUUCUAUAUCCAUAACCGAAUCCAUAUCAGUUUAGUUCGGAUAAACCCGUCCCGUUCGAAUUCGGAUUCGGAUAAUAUUUCAGAUAUCUAUACCCAUUGACAUCCCUAACUGAAACACUAUUUAAGGAAAAAAAAAGGAUAAUUUCAAAUUUACCAUUCUCAAAUUUCAAACUAGGAUUAAUUUUAUGAAGAUUCCUGCAAAUAUAAUGAACUACAAAUAUAUCCCUAUAAAAUUCAACUUUUAUAUAUUGUUUCUUAAAAAGUCCUAAUAUUUUCAAAUAUGUCCCUCUAGUUUUAUUACCGUUAAAGCACUAUUUAUUUUGUAAGUAAAAUGACAUUGUUAUCAUCACAAAUAUGUCCCUCAAAAAAUCUCAACGGUUAAGUAAAGAGGGAUAAAAAGAUCAAUUCACUUCAUUAACUAAACAUGAUUAAGUAUUUAACUUAUAGUUAAUUAAUUUUUCUAACGAAUUCUAACGACAGGAACAUAUUUGAAAACAUCAGGACUUUUACAAGGACAGCAUAUGAAGUUGAACUUUGUAGAAAUAUAUUUACAAUUUAUUAUAUUUUUAAGAACCUGUAUGUAAUUAACCCUUCAAAAUAUUAUAGUUACCUAUCCAAAGUUAAAAAUACCAUCAAUAUUUCUCUAAAUAUACAAUUCUAUCGCGAACACUUCUGCAAAUAUAUAUAUAUAUAUAUAUAUAUAUAUAUAUAUAAAAGGGUACUUAUAUAUUUUUCAAUUUAGGGAUACACCUAUAAAGUUAUAUUUUUUUGGAAGGGUGCAGAUCUUACAAAAUGUGCCUUGGGAUCAGUAAGACUUAGUUUGGUAUUAAGAUCUAUUUGACUCUAUUAGAUAAAAUAAAGUUGGGAUAAAAAUAUAUAGGGAUAUGCUUCUGCGUUUUCUGACCGUGAAAAAUAUAUCAUAACUGAUUCAUCACUAUAUGCGAAAUACAAUAUUACGUACGGAAACAAACAUGAUAUUUUUUUAUCGCAUUUUCUUACUGCACGUAACGCAAUUCUUUCGCAAUUCCAAACGAAACCUAAUUAGCUUAAAUUAUGAAGUAAAAAUAUCAUUAACUAACUCAAAUCAAAAAAUUGAAAGAUUGGAUACUAAAAUUAAAAUUUUAAAAGGUUGGGUAGUUAU
This 1415-nucleotide long non-coding RNA is filed under the name Ananas comosus (pineapple). RNAcentral describes it as "long non-coding RNA (ACOM_LNC031763)". Lineage: Eukaryota; Viridiplantae; Streptophyta; Magnoliopsida; Poales; Bromeliaceae. The record is from RNAcentral.